UACAUGAAGCUGGAAUCGCUAGUAAUCGCAGGUCAGCAUACUGCGGUGAAUACGUUCCCGGGUCUUGUACACACCGCCCGUCACACCAUGGGAGCCGGAAAUGCCCGAAGCCAGUGACCCAACCUUAGGGAGGGAGCUGUCGAAGGUGGAGCCGGUAACUGGGGUGAAGUCGUAACAAGGUAAC
RNAcentral lists this ribosomal RNA (184 nucleotides) under uncultured bacterium. RNAcentral's name for it is "partial 16S ribosomal RNA". It matches the Rfam family "Bacterial small subunit ribosomal RNA", at positions 1317 to 1500 of the family's 1533-position model. The record is from RNAcentral.